Molecule: ribosomal RNA, 484 nt
Filed under: uncultured bacterium
Lineage: Bacteria
Description: partial 16S ribosomal RNA
Rfam family: Bacterial small subunit ribosomal RNA
Source: RNAcentral
AUUGAACGCUGGCGGCAUGCUUUACACAUGCAAGUCGAACGGCAGCGCGGGCUUCGGCCUGGCGGCGAGUGGCGAACGGGUGAGUAAUGCAUCGGAACGUGCCCAGUAGUGGGGGAUAGCCCGGCGAAAGCCGGAUUAAUACCGCAUACGACCUGAGGGUGAAAGCGGGGGACCGAAAGGCCUCGCGCUAUUGGAGCGGCCGAUGUCGGAUUAGCUAGUUGGGGGGGUAAAGGCUUACCAAGGCGACGAUCCGUAGCUGGUCUGAGAGGACGACCAGCCACACUGGGACUGAGACACGGCCCAGACUCCUACGGGAGGCAGCAGUGGGGAAUUUUGGACAAAGGGGGCAACCCUGAUCCAGCCAUGCCGCGUGCGGGAAGAAGGCCUUCGGGUUGUAAACCGCUUUUGUUCGGGAAGAAAUCCUCUGGGCUAAUACCCCGGGGGGAUGACGGUACCGGAAGAAUAAGCACCGGCUAACUACGUG